GGUCGCAUAGCUCAACUGGAGAGAGCACAAGCCUUCUAAGCUUGGGGUUGUAGGUUCGAGUCCUACUGCGAUCG
RNAcentral lists this transfer RNA (74 nucleotides) under Caulobacter phage Cr30. It matches the Rfam family "tRNA". Rfam says of the family: Transfer RNA (tRNA) molecules are approximately 80 nucleotides in length. Their secondary structure includes four short double-helical elements and three loops (D, anti-codon, and T loops). Further hydrogen bonds mediate the characteristic L-shaped molecular structure. tRNAs have two regions of fundamental functional importance: the anti-codon, which is responsible for specific mRNA codon recognition, and the 3' end, to which the tRNAs corresponding amino acid is attached (by aminoacyl-tRNA synthetases). tRNAs cope with the degeneracy of the genetic code in two manners: having more than one tRNA (with a specific anti-codon) for a particular amino acid; and 'wobble' base-pairing, i.e. permitting non-standard base-pairing at the 3rd anti-codon position. The record is from Rfam by way of RNAcentral. Lineage: Duplodnaviria; Heunggongvirae; Uroviricota; Caudoviricetes.